AAAUGUGAAGUUACCUCAUGGCAAAAGUAAUAAAUAGAGCGUGUAUUCAAGCGGUGAGGUCUUUCCGGCCGUCUUGUAAUUAACAACCCACUCGAUCUAUUUUUAUAUUUUCUGUACCAGGGUGUGCCAUAACGUGUGGUACAUCUUUUUUUGAACACGCACAAUUUGUGGCUAAAUUCUUCUUGUACAGAAUGUUGGAAGUUGGAUAGUGCCUGCUUCCUGUUGGAUUUUCUAGCAUAAUGAAGCUGUGGAAGUGUUACUAGUUACAACUAAGAUACCUAGACGAGGCCCUAGUGUUGUGCAUGGAGAAUUCUAUGUUUUCACUUCUUUCAUAUGUAUGACGCUUUUGCUCAUACAUUUGCAUUUGCUUAAGAGCUGGUUAAUAAAGGAGGCAUAAUGCAUAUAGCUACCAAGGCAGAGCUAGGUGAUGGCAUGUGGGUAAUGCAGAAGAAAAAUGAUAUAAUAUGGUGGUAGUUUAAAGUGACUUAAUCAAGGAAUGUUGAACAUGAUUAAUUUUGUAACACAUUGACAUGCCCUCUCUUGUUAAUUUUAAGUGCUGGUUAGUUUGGAUUGUUAGUCACAAUUUGUUUGUGUCUUCUUUCUCUUUUUCCCUCUCUGUGUGUGCUCGCUGGGUGACGUAUCCAGGGACAUUUUUUCAAGGAGAAGGCCCGGGAAGCAGAUGAGAAAUCUGCAAAAAAGUUUCUUGAAACCAGAGAGGAGGAUGUAGUGUCUCUUGAUCUGCAUGAACAAGACCCCAAAGAAGCCAUAAGCCUUUUAAGGAUUCAUUUAUCUACUCUUUCUGGCAUCCCAUCUAUUGAAUAUCUUAAGAUCAUAGUUGGGGCCAAUGCUGAGGAUAGCAAAGAAGGGGCUCGGAAACCACGGGUAUGUUUUGCUAUAACUCAGAUUCUUAUAUUCCAUUUUUUGCC
Rhododendron vialii is the source of this 926-nucleotide long non-coding RNA. RefSeq lists it as uncharacterized. The record is from RefSeq and is a predicted model, not a curated record. NCBI's taxonomy places the organism in Eukaryota, Viridiplantae, Streptophyta, Magnoliopsida, Ericales, Ericaceae. The transcript has 3 exons.